Long non-coding RNA from Quercus lobata, 564 nucleotides. RefSeq lists it as uncharacterized. NCBI's taxonomy places the organism in Eukaryota, Viridiplantae, Streptophyta, Magnoliopsida, Fagales, Fagaceae. The transcript is spliced from 2 exons. The record is from RefSeq and is a predicted model, not a curated record.
GAUGCUGAUAAAGAUGGGCGUCUAACCUUGGCAGAGAUGAUUGAUAACCCUUAUGUAUUUUACAGUGCUAUAUUGAAUGAUGAUGAGGAUGAGGAUGACUAUGAGUACCAUGAUGAAUUCCGUUAAUUUCAUGCUAGGAUACAGGGAAAAACUUUGGUAGAAUUCAAAAUUAUUUUGGCUAUAUGGUACUAGUAAGAAAAAGCUCCACGACCUUGACGUAAAAUUUGCUCUUCCAAAUUGCCAUUUAUGGUUAAUCGCCAUGUGGUCAUAAGUCAUCUUGUACCCCCAGUUUUACCGUCAGAUAGUUCUUGGCGUCAUUGUUGUUCAUUAGAUAUGAAUGUCAGCCCACUGUGAAGAGUGACUUACACUAGAUUGAUAGCUGGAAUAUUAAUUUUGUGGCACACAGUUGUUAGAUAUUCUGAUUUUUUUUUAUAUUCUUGGGGUUUUUACUUUUUGAAGGCUUUGUUACUCUGCAUAUUUUAUCAAGUUGAGUUGUACAUGUAUGAUAUUAUAAAAACAUUUAUCUCCAUUAGUUGUUCCAAGUGGAAGUAGUUUUAAUUGUUA